AGCGCCUACGGGAGGCAGCAGUGGGGAAUCUUGCACAAUGGGCGAAAGCCUGAUGCAGCGACGCCGCGUGGGCGAAGAAGGCCUUUGGGCCGUAAAGCCCUGUCGGGAGGGAAGAAGGAAGCGACGGUACCUCCCAAGGAAGCCCCGGCUAACUACGCGCCAGCAGCCGCGGUAACACGUAGGGGGCGAGCGUUAUCCGGAAUCAUUGGGCGUAAAGGGUGCGUAGGCGGCCUUUUAAGCGCGGGGUCUAAGGCGGUGGCCCAACCACCGUUCGCCCCGGGAACUGGCGGGCUAGAGUGACGGCG
Molecule: ribosomal RNA, 305 nt
Filed under: uncultured bacterium
Lineage: Bacteria
Description: bacterial SSU rRNA
Rfam family: Bacterial small subunit ribosomal RNA
Source: RNAcentral